AGCCUAGCAGAAUGGUUUUGGGAAAGCCAGCCAGAGAGGGUGAAAGCCCCGUAAGCGAAAGGCGAGUGAGCAUGGCGGUAUCCAGAGUAGGUCGAGACACGUGGAACCUUGACUGAAGGAGCGGGGACCACCCCGUAAGGCUAAAUACUCCUUAGUGACCGAUAGCGCAUAGUACUGUGAAGGAAAGGUGAAAAGGACCCCGGGAGGGGAGUGAAAGAGAACCUGAAACCCUGUGUUUACAAGCUGUGGAAGAACUUUACAUGUUCAACCGCGUACUUUUUGUAGAACGGUCCGGCGAGUUGCGCUGGCUGGCGAGGUUAAGGACUAUAAGGUCCGGAGCCGAAGGGAAACCAAGUCUUAACAGGGCGGUGAGUCAGUCGGAGCAGACCCGAAACCGGGUGAUCUAUCCAUGUCCAGGAUGAAGUUGCCGUAAAAGGCAAUGGAGGUCCGAACCCACAUCCGUUGAAAAGGGUGGGGAUGAGGUGUGGAUAGGGGAGAAAUUCCAAUCGAACCCGGAGAUAGCUGGUUCUCCUCGAAAUAGCUUUAGGGCUAGCCUCAUGAGAGUCUUUUGGAGGUAGAGCACUGAAUUUCCUAGGGGGCGUCAAAGCUUACCGAAGAAUAUCAAACUCCGAAUGCCAGUAAGAUGAUUCAUGGGAGUCAGACUGCACGAGAUAAGUUGGGCAGUCGAAAGGGAAAGAGCCCAGACCUGCAGCUAAGGUCCCAAAGUAUGUGUUAAGUGGAAAAGGAUGUGGGAUUUCAAAGACAACCAGGAUGUUGGCUUAGAAGCAGCCACACAUUAAAAGAGUGCGUAAUAGCUCACUGGUCGAGAGGUCCUGCGCCGAAAAUGUCCGGGGCUGAAACACAUCACCGAAGCUCAGGAUCCUACGGGAUGGUAGAGGAGCAUUGUUAACCGGACGAAGCGGUACCGGAAGGAGCCGUGGACGGUUAAGAAGAGAGAAUGCCGGAAUGAGUAGCGAGAGGAAGGUGGGAAUCCUUCCGGCCGAAUAUCCAAGGUUUCCAGAGUAAAGCUGAUCUGCUCUGGGUAAGUCGGGGCCUAAGGCGAGGCCGAGAGGCGUAGCCGAUGGACAACAGGUUGAGAUUCCUGUACUACGAUAUGACAGAACUGUGGGGACGCAGGGAGAGAGCACUACCGGGAAUGGAAAGACCGGGGCAAGCGGGGUAGGAGGUAAGCUGGCAAAUCCGCUUACCAAUCUGAAGACGUGACGCAUACCGAACUUAAAGUAGGGAAAUGUGUGAGCUCACUGCCAAGAAAAGCCGCUAUUGUUCAUAGCGUACCCGUACCGUAAACCGACACAGGUGGAUGAGGAGAGAAUCCUAAGGCCGACGGGAGAAGCAUUGUUAAGGAACUCGGCAAAAUGACUCCGUAACUUCGGGAGAAGGAGUGCCUGGGAGACCAGGCCGCAGAGAAUUGGCCCAAGCAACUGUUUAGCAAAAACACAGGUCUAUGCGAAACCGAAAGGUGAUGUAUAUGGGCUGACGCCUGCCCGGUGCUGGAAGGUUAAGGGGAGAGGUUAGCGCAAGCGAAGCUUUGAACUUAAGCCCCAGUAAACGGCGGCCGUAACUAUAACGGUCCUAAGGUAGCGAAAUUCCUUGUCGGGUAAGUUCCGACCCGCACGAAAGGCGUAAUGAUUUGGGCACUGUCUCGACAAUGCACCCGGUGAAAUUGAAGUACCAGUGAAGAUGCUGGUUACCUGCGCCAGGACGGAAAGACCCCAUGGAGCUUUACUCCAGCUUGAUACUGGGACUCGGUAUUGUAUGUACAGGAUAGGUGGGAGGCUAAGAAGUGGUGACGCCAGUUGCCACGGAGCCGCUGUUGGGAUACCACCCUUGCAGUGCUGGGUUUCUAACCUGCGGCCGUGAUCCGGCCGGGGGACAAUGUCAGGUGGGGAGUUUGACUGGGGCGGUCGCCUCCGAAAGGGUAUCGGAGGCGCUCAAAGGUUCCCUCAGAAUGGUUGGAAACCAUUCGCAGAGUGCAAAGGCAGAAGGGAGCUUGACUGCGACACCGACGGGUGGAGCAGGUACGAAAGUAGGACUUAGUGAUCCGGUGGUAUAAAGUGGGAUUGCCAUCGCUCAACGGAUAAAAGCUACCCUGGGGAUAACAGGCUUAUCACUCCCAAGAGUUCACAUCGACGGAGUGGUUUGGCACCUCGAUGUCGGCUCAUCGCAUCCUGGGGCUGAAGUAGGUCCCAAGGGUUGGGCUGUUCGCCCAUUAAAGCGGUACGCGAGCUGGGUUCAGAACGUCGUGAGACAGUUCGGUCCCUAUCCGGCGUGGGCGUAGGAUAUUUGAGAGGAGCUGUCCUUAGUACGAGAGGACCGGGAUGGACUGGCCGCUGGUGUAUCUGUUGACUUACCAAGGUCAUGGCAGAGUAGCCAAGCCGGGAAGGGAUAAACGCUGAAGGCAUCUAAGCGUGAAGCCCCCCUCAAGAUGAGAUAUCCCUACG
This 2462-nucleotide ribosomal RNA is filed under the name Mordavella massiliensis. Its description in RNAcentral is "partial 23S ribosomal RNA". It matches the Rfam family "Bacterial large subunit ribosomal RNA", at positions 326 to 2819 of the family's 2925-position model. Lineage: Bacteria; Bacillati; Bacillota; Clostridia; Eubacteriales; Clostridiaceae. The record is from RNAcentral.